UCCUCGGGAUGCAACAGAAUCUUGACAGGC
Molecule: non-coding RNA, 30 nt
Filed under: Rattus norvegicus (Norway rat)
Lineage: Eukaryota; Metazoa; Chordata; Mammalia; Rodentia; Muridae
Source: RNAcentral